This 86-nucleotide small RNA is filed under the name Marmota monax (woodchuck). RNAcentral describes it as "Small nucleolar RNA U3". It matches the Rfam family "Small nucleolar RNA U3", at positions 1 to 94 of the family's 219-position model. Rfam says of the family: Small nucleolar RNAs (snoRNAs) are involved in the processing and modification of rRNA in the nucleolus. The record is from Rfam by way of RNAcentral. Lineage: Eukaryota; Metazoa; Chordata; Mammalia; Rodentia; Sciuridae.
AAGACUAUACUUUCAGGGAUCAUUUCUAUAGUAUGUUACUAGAGACUCCUCAUUGUAUGAGACCAAAUCCCUGCAUACUACUUGGA